GGGCCUAUAGCUCAGCGGUAGAGCAUCUGACUUUUAAUCAGAGGGUCGCUGGUUCGAUCCCAGCUGGGCUCACCA
Molecule: transfer RNA, 75 nt
Filed under: Alphaproteobacteria bacterium
Lineage: Bacteria; Pseudomonadati; Pseudomonadota; Alphaproteobacteria
Also listed under: 1 other name
Description: tRNA-Lys
Rfam family: tRNA
About the family: Transfer RNA (tRNA) molecules are approximately 80 nucleotides in length. Their secondary structure includes four short double-helical elements and three loops (D, anti-codon, and T loops). Further hydrogen bonds mediate the characteristic L-shaped molecular structure. tRNAs have two regions of fundamental functional importance: the anti-codon, which is responsible for specific mRNA codon recognition, and the 3' end, to which the tRNAs corresponding amino acid is attached (by aminoacyl-tRNA synthetases). tRNAs cope with the degeneracy of the genetic code in two manners: having more than one tRNA (with a specific anti-codon) for a particular amino acid; and 'wobble' base-pairing, i.e. permitting non-standard base-pairing at the 3rd anti-codon position.
Source: RNAcentral